RNAcentral lists this ribosomal RNA (2509 nucleotides) under Campylobacter coli. RNAcentral describes it as "partial 23S ribosomal RNA". It matches the Rfam family "Bacterial large subunit ribosomal RNA", at positions 1 to 2360 of the family's 2925-position model. The record is from RNAcentral. Lineage: Bacteria; Pseudomonadati; Campylobacterota; Epsilonproteobacteria; Campylobacterales; Campylobacteraceae.
AAAAAAGGUAAGCUACUAAGAGCGAAUGGUGGAUGCCUUGACUGGUAAAGGCGAUGAAGGACGUACUAGACUGCGAUAAGCUACGGGGAGCUGUCAAGAAGCUUUGAUCCGUAGAUUUCCGAAUGGGGCAACCCAAUGUAUAGAGAUAUACAUUACCUAUAUAGGAGCGAACGAGGGGAAUUGAAACAUCUUAGUACCCUCAGGAAAAGAAAUCAAUAGAGAUUGCGUCAGUAGCGGCGAGCGAAAGCGCAAGAGGGCAAACCCAGUGCUUGCACUGGGGGUUGUAGGACUGCAAUGUGCAAGAGGUGAGUUUAGCAGAACAUUCUGGAAAGUAUAGCCAUAGAGGGUGAUAGUCCCGUAUGCGAAAAACAAACCUUAGCUAGCAGUAUCCUGAGUAGGGCGGGACACGAGAAAUCCUGUCUGAAGCUGGGUCGACCACGAUCCAACCCUAAAUACUAAUACCAGAUCGAUAGUGCACAAGUACCGUGAGGGAAAGGUGAAAAGAACUGAGGUGAUCAGAGUGAAAUAGAACCUGAAACCAUUUGCUUACAAUCAUUCAGAGCCCUAUGUAGCAAUACAGGGUGAUGGACUGCCUUUUGCAUAAUGAGCCUGCGAGUUGUGGUGUCUGGCAAGGUUAAGCAAACGCGAAGCCGUAGCGAAAGCGAGUCUGAAUAGGGCGCUUAGUCAGAUGCUGCAGACCCGAAACGAAGUGAUCUAUCCAUGAGCAAGUUGAAGCUAGUGUAAGAACUAGUGGAGGACUGAACCCAUAGGCGUUGAAAAGCCCCGGGAUGACUUGUGGAUAGGGGUGAAAGGCCAAUCAAACUUCGUGAUAGCUGGUUCUCUCCGAAAUAUAUUUAGGUAUAGCGUUGUGUCGUAAUAUAAGGGGGUAGAGCACUGAAUGGGCUAGGGCAUACACCAAUGUACCAAACCCUAUCAAACUCCGAAUACCUUAUAUGUAAUCACAGCAGUCAGGCGGCGAGUGAUAAAAUCCGUCGUCAAGAGGGAAACAACCCAGACUACCAGCUAAGGUCCCUAAAUCUUACUUAAGUGGAAAACGAUGUGAAGUUACUUAAACAACCAGGAGGUUGGCUUAGAAGCAGCCAUCCUUUAAAGAAAGCGUAAUAGCUCACUGGUCUAGUGAUUUUGCGCGGAAAAUAUAACGGGGCUAAAGUAAGUACCGAAGCUGUAGACUUGCGCACAACUUAGAUUAUUUAAGUUUAGAAUAUGAGAAACUAAGUUAUAUGUUUAGUUAUAUUUUUACUGAUUUUUAUAGAGUAAAGAUAGAAAUAAAACUUAGUAAAAUCAGUAAAAAUAUUCUUAGACUAAAGUUAAGUAGUUUAAGUUGUGUGCAAGUGGUAGGAGAGCGUUCUAUUUGCGUCGAAGGUAUACCGGUAAGGAGUGCUGGAGCGAAUAGAAGUGAGCAUGCAGGCAUGAGUAGCGAUAAUUAAUGUGAGAAUCAUUAACGCCGUAAACCCAAGGUUUCCUACGCGAUGCUCGUCAUCGUAGGGUUAGUCGGGUCCUAAGUCGAGUCCGAAAGGGGUAGACGAUGGCAAAUUGGUUAAUAUUCCAAUACCAACAUUAGUGUGCGAUGGAAGGACGCUUAGGGCUAAGGGGGCUAGCGGAUGGAAGUGCUAGUCUAAGGUCGUAGGAGGUUAUACAGGCAAAUCCGUAUAACAAUACUCCGAGAACUGAAAGGCUUUUUGAAGUCUUCGGAUGGAUAGAAGAACCCCUGAUGCCGUCGAGCCAAGAAAAGUUUCUAAGUUUAGCUAAUGUUGCCCGUACCGUAAACCGACACAGGUGGGUGGGAUGAGUAUUCUAAGGCGCGUGGAAGAACUCUCUUUAAGGAACUCUGCAAAAUAGCACCGUAUCUUCGGUAUAAGGUGUGGUUCGCUUCGUAUUAGGAUUUACUCCGAAAGCGAAGAAACUUACAACAAAGAGUCCCUCCCGACUGUUUACCAAAAACACAGCACUCUGCUAACUCGUAAGAGGAUGUAUAGGGUGUGACGCCUGCCCGGUGCUCGAAGGUUAAUUGAUGGGGUUAGCAUUAGCGAAGCUCUUGAUCGAAGCCCGAGUAAACGGCGGCCGUAACUAUAACGGUCCUAAGGUAGCGAAAUUCCUUGUCGGUUAAAUACCGACCUGCAUGAAUGGCGUAACGAGAUGGGAGCUGUCUCAAAGAGGGAUCCAGUGAAAUUGUAGUGGAGGUGAAAAUUCCUCCUACCCGCGGCAAGACGGAAAGACCCCGUGGACCUUUACUACAGCUUGACACUGCUAUUUGGAUAAGAAUGUGCAGGAUAGGUGGGAGGCUUUGAGUAUAUGACGCCAGUUGUAUAUGAGCCAUUGUUGAGAUACCACUCUUUCUUAUUUGGGUAGCUAACCAGCUUGAGUUAUCCUCAAGUGGGACAAUGUCUGGUGGGUAGUUUGACUGGGGCGGUCGCCUCCCAAAUAAUAACGGAGGCUUACAAAGGUUGGCUCAGAACGGUUGGAAAUCGUUCGUAGAGUAUAAAGGUAU